CACGGGGGGAGCAAGCGUUGUUCGGAAUCACUGGGCGUAAAGGGCGUGUAGGCGGUCAAGUAAGUGGGAUGUGAAAUCCCUCGGCUCACCCGAGGACCUGCAUCCCAAACUGCUUGGCUUGAGUAUGGGAGAGGAUGAGGGAAUUCCUGGUGUAGCAGUGAAAUGCGUAGAGAUCAUGAGGAAGACCAGUGGCGAAGGCGGGUCUCUGGACAGUUCCUGACACUGAGACACGAAGGCCAGGGGAGCAAACGGG
Molecule: ribosomal RNA, 253 nt
Filed under: uncultured bacterium
Lineage: Bacteria
Description: partial 16S ribosomal RNA
Rfam family: Bacterial small subunit ribosomal RNA
Source: RNAcentral